GACGAACGCUGGCGGCGUGCCUAAUACAUGCAAGUCGAGCGAGCGAAACUAACAGAUUUACUUCGGUAAUGACGUUAGGAAAGCGAGCGGCGGAUGGGUGAGUAACACGUGGGGAACCUGCCCCAUAGUCUGGGAUACCACUUGGAAACAGGUGCUAAUACCGGAUAAGAAAGCAGAUCGCAUGAUCAGCUUUUAAAAGGCGGCGUAAGCUGUCGCUAUGGGAUGGCCCCGCGGUGCAUUAGCUAGUUGGUAAGGUAAAGGCUUACCAAGGCGAUGAUGCAUAGCCUAGUUGAGAGACUGAUCGGCCACAUUGGGACUGAGACACGGCCCAAACUCCUACGGGAGGCAGCAGUAGGGAAUUUUCCACAAUGGACGCAAGUCUGAUGGAGCAACGCCGCGUGAGUGAAGAAGGUUUUCGGAUCGUAAAGCUCUGUUGUUGGUGAAGAAGGAUAGAGGUAGUAACUGGCCUUUAUUUGACGGUAAUCAACCAGAAAGUCACGGCUAACUACGUG
This 512-nucleotide ribosomal RNA is filed under the name uncultured bacterium. RNAcentral describes it as "partial 16S ribosomal RNA". It matches the Rfam family "Bacterial small subunit ribosomal RNA", at positions 28 to 507 of the family's 1533-position model. The record is from RNAcentral.